This 16655-nucleotide long non-coding RNA is filed under the name Malus domestica (apple). RNAcentral describes it as "long non-coding RNA (MDOM_LNC007214)". The record is from RNAcentral. Lineage: Eukaryota; Viridiplantae; Streptophyta; Magnoliopsida; Rosales; Rosaceae.
UCUUCCAUCGUUGAAGAUCCUUGACGUCAGCCAUUCUCAUGGUCUUAGUGAAACCAUUGACUUCUCACGUUCCUCCAAUCUAGAGGAACUAAUUCUUGUAGAUUGCACAAGCCUGGAGAAUGUUCAUGAAUCCAUUGGAAACCUGGAGAGACUCGUGUACUUGAAUAUGAAGGAUUGCAAGAAUCUUAGGAAGCUUCCGAAGAACAUGUGCAAGCUUAAAUCACUUGAAAUACUCAUUUUAUCUGGUUGCUCAAAUCUUGAUGAGGUUCCAGUGGAGAUGAUGAAGAAGAUGGAGUCUCUGAAAGUUCUUGAGACGGAUGGAAUUCCAAUAGGUGAAUUGUGGCCAGAAAGAAGUUCAACUAUCUUGAGUUCUUUUCCGUGCUCUUUGGUAGAGUUAAGUCUGAAGGGGUGCAAUCUUUCUGAUGAUGUCUUUUCUACGGAUUUAAGUGCUCUAUCCUACUUGCGAAGACUACAUUUGGAUGAGAAUCCAAUUUGCAGUCUGCCAGUUUUCAUCAAAGGUUUGAGGAGGAUCGAUGAACUCUCUUUCAAGGGUUGUGAUAGGCUCGAAUCGCUUGUGGGGUUGCCGGAAGUACACCAAAGGCUAAGUAUAAAAGAAUGCAUAUCAUUAAAAAAAAUAACUUUUCAUUCCCCUGGGCAACAUUAUCUAACACGUGUAUUUUGCCAUGACAACCCGAAUCUUGUUGAGUGUGAGUGCUAUUACAAGUUAGAGCCUAUUGAUAGAGUUGAUGUGGAAAUGAUCAAACUUUUGGGCUUGUGCAACUUGGAAUCCAUGCCAGCUGUUCGAAUGCAUCAUCCACUCACAAACUGGGAUCUAAUAGAGGUCCCCGUCCAGGUGCGCCUCUUUUUCUCUCUCUCUCAUAAGUCUUAAAUAUAUAAUGGGAAAGAAAUGACUGAGUAAUGUUGUGAUGACUGUGGCAAAUACAUAGGGACUGUAUCAACAUGGUAUAUUCAGCACCUUUUUUGUUGGGAAUGAGGUUCCAGGCCUGUUCAGCUAUAAAAGUACCAAGUCCUCGAUAUCUUUUAUUGUCCCUUUACUACUUGCUAGUCACAGAAUUCGAGGCUUGAACAUCUUUGCUACCUAUGCAAAGGAAAAUUCAAAUAAUUAUUCUACUAGACCUAAUAUUGGUCCAAUAAUGAUCAAAGUGAGAAACAAGAGUAAGGGUCUGAAGUGGAUCUAUGACCCAUUUUUCUAUGGAAUCCCAAGUGACGGAGAAGAUAUGAUAUGGUUGAGCCAUUGGAAGAUGGAGAAUAAAACAAUAUUACAAUGUGGAGAUGAAGUGGUGGUUUCGGUAAUAACUGGACCACGUGACAUGUUUUGGGUCAAGGAGUUUGGUGUCGAGCUUGUGCAAGAGCACCAAGACAAGAUGAGUACCCAACACAACACCAAAUCUGAUCCUAAUUAUCCAUUUGUUAUUGAUGGAGAUUUGAAGAUGUUUGAGGACAGACCGGGAAAAUACUUCCUUGGCAGUUAUUUUAUAGAAGAAAUUGAUGACAUUGAUAUCCUCACCAUGGACUCUGAUGAAGAAGACACAAGUAUGUUGUGUUGUUGUAUUGCAUUGAAUUAUACUUCAUCCAAACACUUCCAGGUGUGUCCGUAUUCAUUUCAAAAACGUUUCCAAUAAAUUUUAUGUUAUUUGUAUGUUUUUCAGACAAAGAAGGGCAAGAGGAUGAACCUGAUUACACAAUUGCAAAGACGAGGGCUGCUAGCAAUAACUGCAGCCUGAGAGGCUGGAAGGUGCGCCUCACAGCUGUCGGCUUCUUUUUCGCGCUUGCUCUAGUAGGUUGGUCCUCCAUCUCCCAAAAAAAGAAGCGACAAUCGUCCACAAGCCCACCAUGAGUUUGUAAUUUGACUUCAAAUGUGCUUGCUCUAGUAGCUAAGCACUCUUAACCGCUUGAGAUAUAAAAGCCCAUUGCAACUAGAUACUGAACUUCAAAUGUGUUCAACGCCAUCAAAUAUAGCAUAAAAUACAUCCAGCAUUAGGUUCCAAGCCCACUAUUGAAAAUCAUGUUCAUCCACUCUACACAUCCAAGGCAGCAAACUAACUAGGAUACCAGGUUGGGAGGAUACAAUCAUUAACAAUUUCAAAAGCUAUAAAUGCAAUCCGAAUACAUGGCAAGUAGGGGUAAGCAUGUGAACAAAAAAAUCAGUGAACAUAAUCAAAUCCAAUACGUCAAUUUUGGCCUAGAUUGAAAUGAAAAAAACAAGGAAAUGCUUUGUGUAUCGAUUUGUUUAUGAAGGAAAUAAAACAUAUUUCAUGGAAAGAAAACCUGUGGUUACCUUUGUCUUCCUCUGCCAUUUGUCUAUCGAUUUGUUUCUGAAAGUGGCUAUUCUACAAGAUACAACAUGACAGGUCUUAGUUAGACCAAGUAAACGGCAUGGAAAUGCUUUCUGAAGCAAGAAUGUGUACUCAAGAGCUUUGUGCCAGAGAGGUCGUCGUACCCAGUGCACAAGGCUCCCGCUUUACGCAGGGUCUGGGAGAGGUGAAUGUCGGCUAGCCUUACCCCUAUUUAUGGAGAGGACUUAAGAAAAAUGAAAAAAACAAUAUAGAAUAUGGGUAAGAAUAAAUUUCGAUUAGACAAUAAUUCACUGUAUAAAUCGUUUUUUCAACUUUAAAGUGUGGCUUAAAAAGAAGCUUUAAACAAGUAGCAAUAAUUUCAUAUUGAAAAAUAAAACCUAUUUCAUGGAUAUUACAAGAGCCAUUAUUUUGAAAAACACACCUUUUGGUUCUUCACCACUUGACUUUUAAGAAGAUCUUCGUCCUUGUGACGAUUCAAAUUCUUUAAAAUAUCUCUACGACGGAAUAAACAAAACCAAUCUAGGCCAAAAUUGACUUGUUCGAUUUGAUUAUGUUCACUGAUUUUUCUGUUCACAUGUUUACCCCUACUUGCCAUAUAGUUUUGGGGUGUUAGUGCAUAGUGCUCUUCUCUUUACACACCAGUUUCAAUUUUAUUCUUCGUAAAUUAAGAGACCGUUUGAUAAUCAUUUCGUUUUCAAUUUAAAAAAUAUAAAAAACUAAAUGAAGUUUUCAACUAGAAUUUUCGCUUUUGGUUUUCAAUUUUAAUUUUUUUUAAAACAACUGAAAACUAAAAAUAGUUGCAAAAAGAAUUUUUCAUUUUUUUUUAAUUUAUAAAAAAGUAAAAACUGAAAACUCUAAACUAUAGACUAAAAAUUAAAAAGUGAAAUCGAAAUGGGCUCUCAACAAAAUUGAAAAAAGACUGGGCUGAAUUACUGAAUUCAAAGCAGGGCUUAUUAACGUUACGAGGCCCAAUGGAUCUGGAUAAAUAUUUUUCAUUUUUUUUUAACAAACGAUAUUAUUUAUAUAGGCUUAAUUUUACAGUGGGCUAACAAUAAUGUGGUUCAAAUUUGCUUUUCGCAAGAAUAGAACCUAAAACUUCUCACUUAUAAAUGAAGAGGAAUACCACUAAACCGUAGUCCUGAUAGAUUCGUUAUUUUAUUUUAUAUUUUAAGAAAAAAGAAAGAAAGCAAUGAAAAGCUGUACAUAAAAUAAAUACAAAAAGGAAUGAAAUGAAGAAGAGUGGGAGACUAAUGUUUAAUUCAAGAUAAAGAAAGAAAGCUGAUCGCACCACGACGGCGGCGACGUGGCGGUCAUUUAACGGAAAAUAACAGACAAAUCAGCCUCCAGAUCAAAUCUUGAAGCACAACUCUGAAAAAUCGAGACUACCAACAGCUGAGCUCCGACCAACCGUUGAUGGAUGCAAUCAGGAAGCUCAGAGAUCAGGUCGCCAAGCAACAGCAGGUACUCCCUCUCGUUUGAUUCCGAAUUUGUAUUUCUGUAUGGAUUUUGAUAUGAACAUAAUCUGCGUUGAUUGCGAGAUACUGAGAUUGCUUAAUGAAAUAAUAUUUAUAUAAUUGUUCGAGUUGAAUUGGAUCGAUUCGAAUUCAAAUAGAAUGUCACUAUUUCUGAGCUGUUUGGGGAUGUGUUGGAGUGCAAUGUUGAUGAAUUUCUGAAAUUUUGAGCUAGGUGUUGCUAAUUACUUAUCGAUUUUUGAUGUAAUUGGAUGCUUAAUUUUUACAUUUUCGGAAAACUUCAAACGAAAAUGGCAUAUAAUUCAACGUUCUAUGCUUCAUUAAUGCAUAAGAGUUGGUCGAAGCUUGAUCGAGUUUGCUUUUGGUUAUUUUGUGAACACCGUCAGGCUGUGUUCAAACAAUUUUCUGGUGGCAUAUAUGGGGGAUCGGAUAAUGUUGCCUCGGAUGAAAAUGAAUUUCAACAGCAUCAGAAACUCGAGAAGCUGUACAUAUCAACUCGUGCUGCCAAGGUUGCUACGCUUAUUUUUGUCUGUGCUUUAAACGAGCAUCACGUUAGUUGUGUUACCUAUCGUUUUUUUGCUUCAUCUUUAACAGCAUUACCAAAAGGAAAUUGUCCGCGGAGUGGAAGGUUACAUUGUGGCCGGUUCAAAGCACGUUGAAAUAGGUAUGUUGCUUGAAAUGCGUUGUCUUUUCUUUGGAGUUUGGAUAUGAAUUCAUGCUGGUUUUAUCAGUUGGUAUACAUAAUAUUUUUUCAACAGGUACCAAGCUAUCAGAAGAUAGCAGGAAAUAUGGUUCUGAAAAGACUUGCACCAGUGAUAACACAUUGUCGAGAGCUGCACUUAGUUUUGGAUGAGGUGGGGCCCAAAUGGAAAAAGAGUGCGGAGUUCUACUUAAAGCCCUUGGCACACAGGUUUAAGUCAAAUUAUUACUAACAGAGGCUAUUAAGUAAAAAUCAAAUAUUGCCAGGGCCGGCUUCAUACAAAUGGAAUUUCAACUGACUAAUUUUCGUGUGCAUUUGAUCAUUUCGAAAGAAAUUUACAGCAAAAAUUGUUUUCAUUUCCACGUCGUGGUUCAAGAAUUGGACUACUUUUUGUGUUUCUAUGCAUCGUAUGACAAACUGGCUCACCAUUUCUUUCUAUAGGUUUGCAUAAUAACUCUUUGUGUGCUUAUCAAUUUGCCUGUGUAGGUUGCAUAGCCUUUAUAGUGGGAGCGCCCAUGGAGGAUGCUCGACAUCUUGCUCAACGUUAUGCUAGAAUGCGGCAAGAAGCUGAAGCUCAGGUAUAUGCAGUUUCUUCUGUUUCCUACCAAUUUUAUUCUACAGUGAUUUUAUAUCCAAAACAAGCAUUGACUUGGCUGUCCAUCCAUCAAUAGCAGGUCCACAUCUCAACCCAAAUAUAAUGACGUCAAAGGAGAGGGGAAAAUGAGAAGGAAACUCUGGAGGGUAGAGGGAAGGAAAAGGGGAAAAGGAGAAAGGGAGAAGGGAAAAGUAGAACGGGAAGGAGGAAAAUGAGAGGAAAUUUCGGAGAAUAGAGAAAGGGAGAAGGGAAAAGAAGAAAAGCAGAAAAGAAGGGAAAAGGGGAAGGAAGCUUAGGAGGCUAGAGAAAAAGAUGGAAAUGCAUAAAAAUAAAAAAAUAAAAAAGGAAAGUCGCCUUCAUCAUUAUGUCUACUAACGGAAAGGAGCAACCACAUUGUAAAUUAUAUUUUGUAUAAUGAGAAACCAGUAUUCCUACCCUGAGGGUAUAGACACAACUUGCUGAAUCUCGUUACUAUACAGCAAGUUUAUAAUUGCACAAUAAUUCGAUCAAUCAUCUUAAGUUCAACCAUACAUGUAACAAGAUUUAAGUUUUUCCAAACUUUCCUUAUGAAGGUAACUGAACAUUACAAGUGUCACGUUAUUAUGCGAUUCUAUCAAGUUUUAAUUUUUGUCUCAUAACCACAUUACAAGUGCCACGUUAUUUAUUUUAUCCUUUAUUUUAUCUUUAUUAUUAAAACUUAAAAUUUUCAUAUUUUUUUAUUAAUUUUUUUUUAUAAAAUCACACGUAAAACAAGAAGUAAUCUUUUCUUUUUCUUUUCAUCUCUGCCACUAGCGGCCGACCAUGACUUAAAGAAACGCUUUUUGGAUGGGUCAAUGUAUGGGAACGACCCAUUUUAUAUGUUACAUGGUUGUGCAAUUAAAAGUGCAUUUUAUCAUAAAAAUGUGAGCAACGAUCAAUAUAAUUGUUAUUUAUAAAAUCACACAAAACACAAGAAGGAAUCUUUUCUUUUUCUUUUUCAUCUCUGCCACUACCAGCCGACCAUGACUUAAAAGAAACGCUUUUUGGUUCAAUGGAUGGGAACGACCUAUUUUAUAAUAAGAAAAAUUAAUUAAAAAAAUUUAAAAAUUUUAAGUUUUAAUAAUAAAAAGAUGUUGUAAAUAAAUAGUACAUAAUUGAUUUUUUUAGUAAAAGUAUAAUUUUUUAUUAAAAUUUCGUUCAAAUCCCCUUUAUAAUAUUGUUUGUAAAUUUUUCUGGAAGUAGAUGGAAAUGACCCAAUUACAUAUUUCCCCUGCUCACAGACAUUUUCAUUGCACCUAGAAAACCAGUUUUUUGUUAGAAAAUCGAUCCACAUCAAUGGCUCUUGUGAGAACAUCUCCAGGAACCUCCUCUGAUUCCAACACUUUUCGGAGUUAUCGCUACGACGUGUUCUUGAGCUUCAGAGGCGAAGAUACUCGCAAGACUUUUACCGACCACCUCUACACAGCCUUGAACAACGCAGGAUUUCUUACGUUCCGAGACGACGAUGAACUUGAGAGAGGAGAAGAUAUAAAGCCAGGACUGCAGAAAGCGAUCCAGCAGUCACGAACUUCUGUUGUCGUGUUUUCGAAAGAUUACGCUUCAUCCAGUUGGUGUCUUGAUGAGCUUGUGCUGAUCCUUGAACGCAAGAGGACCACCUCGGACCAUGUAGUUUUACCAGUCUUCUACGAUGUCGAUCCGUCCCACGUGAGGAAGCAGACAGGAAGUGUUGGAAAAGCAUUUGCUAGAAGCCAGAAAAAUCAGUCGCCGGAAAAGGUGCAGGGAUGGAGGAAGGCACUUGCAGAGAUUGCAGACCUAGCAGGCAUGGUCUUACAAAAUCAAGCUGAUGGGUAACUUUCAUUAUCUCCAUUUCUCAUCUUUCCUGGGUGAAUUUGAUGUAUGAUCCGUAAUGACCUAGAUUUUUAUAUGUUUAUUAAUUCAAUCUCAGUAGUGAAUAAUAAUCUCAAUUUAGGUCAACUUAAAGAAAUCACACUCAACUCAACUUAAGGAUUAGUCAUUUUCCAUGUUAAUCUACUGGUUUCCAGUUGCUUAAAUUUUUUUGAAAGCUGGUGUGGAAAAAGGUUAGGAUGUGAUCUGUCUAUAGUUCGUGUAAAUUAUGCGCUGUAUUCCUUUUUUUUUUCAAUUUAAUUUUGUCAGCAGUCCUCUUUUUUUUUUCUUAUUUAAAAAGGCAAUCAACAUAUGUUUUAAUUAUCUAAUUUCCCCAAUUCAUUUUUCAUUUUGUUUGCAAAUUCUUAGGUACGAGUCAAAGUUUAUCAAAAAAAUUGUUGAAGUGAUAGGAGACAAGUUAUGUCGUACGUCGUUGAGUGUUGAACCAAAAUUGAUUGGAAUUCAAUCUCAAGCCGAACGCAUCAAUUUGUGGUUACAAGAUGGAUCAAGUCAUGUUGGUAUAUUUGUUGUGUAUGGCAUGUCUGGAAUAGGGAAGACAACCAUUGCAAAACAUGUUUACAAUUCAAACUUUGGAAGCUUUCAAGGAAGUAGUUUCAUUGAAAAUAUCAAAGAAACAGCAGAUCGACCAAAUGGCUUAGUUCAAAUACAAAUGCAACUUCUUUGUGAUAUUUUGAACGGCAGAGAAGUGAAAAUACACAGUGUUAGUGAGGGAAUAAUUAAGAUUGAAAGGGCCAUAAGCACUAGAAGAGUUCUACUUGUUCUUGAUGAUGUUGACCAAAUGGACUAAUUCGAUGCAAUCCUAAGGAUGAAGGAUCAGUUUUAUCCUGGAAGUAAGAUACUAAUAACAACUAGGCGUGAAAGGCUGCUAAAGGCAGAUCAAGUUACAGAGGUGCACAGAGUUCAAACUUUGGAUUACAAUGAAUCAUUAAAGCUUUUCAGUUGGCAUGCUUUUGGCCAGGACCAUCCCAUAGAAGAAUACAUGGAGCACUCAAAACAGCUAGUGCAACAUAGCGACGGACUUCCAUUAGCUCUAAAAGUUUUGGGUUCUUCUUUAUCAGGGGAAAGUAUAGGUGUAUGGGAAAGUGCAUUGGAGAAGCUAAAAGUUAUUCCUGAUGGUGAAAUCAUAAACAAACUAAGAAUAAGCUAUGAAAGUUUAAAAGAUGACCAUGACCGGAAAUUAUUCCUCCACAUUGCUUGUUUCCUAAUAGGAAGGAACAAAACCUACAUUGUUAGAAUAUUCGAUGGAUGUGAUUUCUAUACAAUCAUUGGCAUUCAAAAUCUCAUUGAUAGAUGCUUGGUGACAUUUGAUGAACACGGCAAGGUGAAAAUGCAUGACAUGAUUCGUGCUAUGGGAAGAGAAAUUGUUCGCCAAGAAUCAGAAGAGCUUGAGGAACGUAGUAGAUUAUGGCGCCAUAAGGAUUCUUUCCAAGUAUUGAGGAAAAAGAAUGUAAGAAACAUGCCUUUUAUGUCUAUAUAUGUCUUUCUUCUUGUGAAAAUUAUGCAUAUUAAUGUCUUUUUUUUUUCCUUUAGGGUACAAAAAAAAUCCAAGGUCUUGUCCUGGAUAUGCGUAAUCAUUCUGCAAACAGUCCAAUAAACACAAAUGAGAUAGUCUUGGAAACCAAUGCAUUUGCAAGGAUGUGCAAUUUACAACUACUCCAUCUUAGUCAUGUACGACUGGAUGGAUGUUAUGCAGAUUUCCCUACAGGAUUAAGAUGGUUGUGUUGGCUUGAAUUUCCUUUGGAUUCUAUACCAAUUGAUUUUCCUUUGGAGAACGUAAUUGUUCUGGAAAUGCAAUACAGUAGCUUGAGACAAGUAUGCAAAGGAACAAAAGUAUGUUACUCUAUGCAUUUCAAUUCAUUUUCCUUAUUUUGUUAGUUUUUUAUUUGUUGACUAACUUCGUGUGUUAAAAUGAACUACUAUGUUUUCUUUAAUUCAAUGACUAAUUUCUUAUAUUAGAUACUUAUUUCAUUGUUAUUUUUUCUUCUUUUUUUUCCCUCUGUUUCCACAGUUUCUUCCAUCGUUGAAGAUCCUUGACGUCAGCCAUUCUCAUGGCCUUAGUGAAACCAUUGACUUCUCACUUUUCCCCAAUCUAGAGGAACUGAUUCUUGUAGAUUGCACAAGCCUGAAGAAUGUUCAUGAAUCCAUUGGAAGCUUGGAGAGACUCGUGUACUUGAAUAUAAAGGAUUGCAAGAAUCUUAGGAAGCUUCCGAAGAACAUGUGCAUGCUUAAGGCCCCGUUUGGGAUUGAGGUGAUUUUAAAAAAAGCCACUGUCAAAAAAAGCUGAGGAUCAUUUUUGUGUUUGGUAAACUGAAAAAAAAGGGCUUAUUUUGGAAGCUGCUGUGAGAAUAAGCUGAAAAUCAAAGAAAAAGCUGAAGCUGCUAUUUGCUGCUUUGAAAAAAAGCCAGUUUUUUCAAAGCACACGGAGCUACAGUGCUCCUUUAAUGAAAAGACACACUAUCAUCCUGCUUUUUUUUCCAAAAGCACUUUCACAAAAAAGUUUACCAAACACUCUACUGGCUUUAUUUCACAGCCGCUUAUUCUCACAGCACAGCUGCUUAUUCUUACAGCAGCUUUUUUUCAAAGCACAGCAAUACCAAACCAGCCCUAAAUCACUUGAACACUCAUUUUAUCUGGUUGCUCAAAUCUUGAUGAGUUUCCAAUGGAGAUGAUGAAGAUGGAGUCUCUGAAAGUUCUUGAGACAGAUGGACUUCCAAUAGGUAAAUUGUGGCCAGAAAGAAGUUCAACUAUCUUGAGUUCUUUUCCAUGCUCUUUAGUAGAGUUAAGUCUGAAGGGGUGCAAUCUUUCUGAUGAUGUCCUUCCUACGGAUUUAAGUAAUCUAUCCAAUUUGCAGUCUGCCAGUUUUCAUCAAAGGUUUGAGGAAGAUCGAUGAACUCUCUUUCAAGGGUUGUGAUAGGCUCGAAUCGCUUGUGGGGUUGCCGGAAGUACACCAAUGGCUAAGUAUAGCCGGAUGCAUAUCAUUAAAAAAAAUAACUUUUCAUUCCCCUGAGCAACCGUAUCUAGUACGUGGGGGUGACAACUCGAAUAACUGUAAUUGCUGUUACAAGUUACAGCCUUUUGAUAGAGUUGAUGUGAAAAUGAUCAAACUUAUGGGCUUGUGCAACUUUGAAUCCAUGCCAGCUGUUCAAAUGCGUAAUUCAUACACAUACAGGGAUCCAAAAGAGGUCCCCGUCCAGGUGCGCCUCUCUUUCUCUCUCUCAUAAGUCUUAAAUAUAUAAUGGGAAAGAAAUUACUGAGUAAUGUUGUGAUGACUGUGGCAAAUACAUAGGGACUGUAUCAAUUUGGUGUAUUCAGCACUUUUUUUGUUGGGAAUGAGGUUCCAGGCCGGUUCAGCUAUAAAAGUACGAAGUAUUCGAUAUCUUUUAUUGUCCCUUUACUACUUGCUAGUCACAGAAUUCGAGGCUUGAACAUCUUUGCUACCUAUGCAAAGGAAAAUUCAAAUAAUUAUUCUACUGGACCUAUUAUUGUUCCAAUAAUGAUCAAAGUGAGAAACAAGAGCAAGGGUUUGAAGUGGAUCUAUUGCCCAUUAUCCUAUGGAAUCCCAGGUGACGGAGAAGAUAUGAUAUGGUUGAGCCAUUGGAAGAUGGAGAAUAAUACAAUAUUACAAUGUGGAGAUGAAGUGGUGGUUUCGGUAAUAACCGGACCACGUGACUUGUUUUUGGUAAAGGAGUUUGGUGUCGAGCUUGUGCAAGAGCACCAAGACAAGAUGAGUACCCAACACAACACCAAAUCAGAUCCUAAUUAUCCAUUUGUUAUCGGUGGAGAUUUGAAGACGUGGAAGUGCAAACCAGGAAUAUACUUCCUUAGCUGUAGGAGACGAGAAGAUACUGACGACAUUGAUAUCCUCACCAUGGACUCUGAUGAAGAAGACACAAGUAUGUUGUGUUGUUGUAUAGCAUUGAAUUAUACUCCAUCCAAACACUUCCGGGUGUGUCCGUAUUCAUUUCAAAAACAUUUCCAAUAAAUUUUAUGUUAUUUGUAUGUUUUUCAGACAAAGAAGGGCAAGAGGAUGAACCUGAUUACACAAUUGCAAAGACGAUGGCAGCUAGCAAUAACUGCAGCCUAAGAGGAUGGAAGGUGCGCCUCACAGCUGUCGGCUUCUUUUUCGCGCUUGCUCUAGUUGGUUGGUCCUCCAUCUCGCAAAAAAAGAAGCGACACUCGUCCACAAGCCCACCAUGAGUUUGUAAUUUGACUUGAUAUAGAUAUAUCUUUGCAUUCCUUGCUCUCAAGAUGUUUUCUACCUUCGAAACUUCAAGUUUAGAGCUAAGCACUUUAACCGCUUGAGAUAUAAAAGCCCCUUGCAACUAGAUACCGAAGUUCAAAUGUGUUCAACGCCAUCAAAUAUAGCAUAAAAUACAUCCAGCAUUAGCGAUACUAGCAUAGUAGCAGUAAAUAAGUAAAACCAAAAAAUGCUUCCACACAUGGUAAGGGAAGGACUUUACAUAGGAAUCUUUAGCAAUAACGGGCAAGAUUUUUUUGUUUUUGGGAGGAGGUGGAUUAUUUCGGCACCGGGGAAAACAAAAACAUCCCAUCUUAGUUGUCGUUUACAACAAAAUCAUUCUUAAAGACUCGGCUCCCCAUUGAAAUUGUGUAAAUUGCAUAAAUAUCAAUACAACAGAUAUUAAAUAGAAUAAUAUAUAUCAAAUAAAUUAACGACAAGCAAUUUCUUAGCCUGAGAUCCAAGGACUUUACAGCUGGUUCAGCCUUGCAUUCGCUACUACAUUACAGAAGCUGGUUUCUGCUUCUUCAACCUGAACAAAUUAUUGAGGUCAGGAAGUAUAAGAGGAACGACCAUAGUCUCUGGAGCCAUGAAAUUUACUAUCUUCUUUUGGGCAUUGUACCUGCAAAAGCAUAAUGCAAUAAGCAUUCAACAAUCUGACCUAGUUUUCUCAACAGAUACUCCAAGAUAUUCCAAAACAAAGUCACAGCAAUUUCACAUAGGGAACCGAAGAAUCAUGUUCGUCCACUCUACACAUCCAAAGCAGCAAACUAACAAUUUCACAUAGGAUACCAGGUUGGGAGGAUACAAUCAUUAACAAUUUCAAAAGCUUUAAAUGCAAUCUGAAUACAUGGCAAGUAGGGGUAAACAUGUGAACAGAAAAAAUCAGUGAACAUAAUCAAAUCCAAUACGUCAAUUUUGGCCUAGAUUGAAAUGAAAAAAAAACAAGGAAAUGCUUUGUUGUUUUUGAAGGAAAUAAAACCUAUUUCAUGGAAAUAAAACCUGUGGUUACCUUUGUCUUCCUUUGCCAUUUGUCUAUCGAUUUGUUUCUGAAAGUGGCUAUUCUACAAGAUACAGCAUGACAGGUCCUAGUUAGACCAAGCAACCGGCAUGGAAAUGCUUUCUGAAGCAAGAAUCUGAACUCAAGAGCUUUGUGCCAGAGAGACUUCAGAAAAAUGAAAAAAAACAACAUAGAAUAUGGGUAAGAAUAAACAUCGAUCAAACAAUAAUUCACUGUAUAAAACAUUUUUUCAACUUUAAAGUGUGGCUUAAAAAGAAGCUUUAAACAAGUAGCAAUAAUUUCAUAUUGAAAAAUAAAACCUGGAUAUUACAAGAGCCAUUAUUUUGAAAGACACACCUUUUGGUUCUUCACUACUUGACUUUUAAGAAGAUCUUCGUCCUUGUCACGAUUCAGAUUCUUUAAAAUAUCUCUGCGAUGGAAUAAACAAAACCAAUCUAGGCCAAAAUUGACUUAUUCGAUUUGAUUAUGUUCACUGAUUUUUCUAUUCACAUGUUUACCCCUUACUUGCCAUAUGGUUUUGGGGUGUUAGUGCAUAGUGCUCUUCUCUUUACACACCUGUUUCAUUUGUAUUCGUUGUAAAUUAAGAGACCGUUUGAUAAUCAUUUCGUUUUCAAUUUAAAAAAUAUAAAAAACUAAAUAAAGUUUUCUAAAUUUGACCUAGAAUUUUUCGCUUUUGGUUUUUAAUUUUUUUUUUUAACAACUGAAAACUAAAAAUAGUUACAAAUUUUUUUUUCAGUUUUUAAUUUACAAAAAAGUAAAAACUGAAAACUCUAAACUAUAGACUAAAAAUUAAAAAGUGAAAUCGAAAUGGGCUCUCAACAAAAUUGAAAAAAGACUGGGCUGAAUUACUGAAUUCAAAGCAGGGCUUAUUAACGCUACGAGGCCCAAUGGAUCUGUAUAAAUAUUUUUUGUUUUUUUUUAACAAACGAUAUUAUCUAUAUGGGCUUAACCUUACAAUAGGCUAACAAUAAUGUGGUUCAAAUUUAUUUUUGACGAGAAUCGAACCUAAAACUUCUCGCUUACAAAUGAAGAGGAAUACCACUAAAUCAUAGUCCUGAUAUUUUAUUUAAUAUUUUAAGAAAAAAGAAAGAAAGCAAUGAAAAGCUGUACAUAAACUAAAUACAAAAAGGAAUGAAAUGAAGAAGAGUGGGAGACUAACGUUUAAUUCAAGAUAAAGAAAGAAAGGUAAUCGCACCCCGACGGCGGCGACGUGGCGGUCAUUUAACGGAAAAUAACAGACAAAUCAGCCUCCAGAUCAAGUCUUGAAGCACAACUCUGAAAAAUCGACACUACCUACAGCUGAGCUCCGACCAACCGUUGAUGGAUGCAAUCCGGAAGCUCAGAGAUCAAGUCGCCAAGCAACAGCAGGUACUCUCUCUCUUGUUUGAUUCCGAAUUUGUAUUUCUGUAUGGAUUAUGAUAUGAACAUAAUCUGCGUUGAUUGCGAGAUACUAAGAUUGCUUAAUGAAAUAAUAUUUAUAUAAUUGUUCAAAUUGAAUUGGAUCGAAUUCGAAUAGAUUUUUCACUAUUUCUGAGCUGUUUGGGGCUGUGUUGGAGUGUAUUGUUGCUGAAUUUCUGAAAUUUUGAAUCUAGCAAACACCAGUUCUUUUUGUUUGAACAUCGAUCCACAUCAAUGGCUCUUGUGAGAACAUCUCCAGGAACCUCCUCUGAUUCCAACACUUUUCGGAGUUAUCGCUACGACGUGUUCUUGAGCUUCAGAGGCGAAGAUACUCGCAAGACUUUUACCGACCACCUCUACACAGCCUUGAACAACGCAGGAUUUCUUACGUUCCGAGACGACGAUGAACUUGAGAGAGGGGAAGAUAUAAAGCCAGGACUGCAGAAAGCGAUCCAGCAGUCACGAACUUCUGUUGUCGUGUUUUCGAAAGAUUACGCUUCAUCCAAGUGGUGUCUUGAUGAGCUUGUGCUGAUCCUUGAACGCAAGAGGACCACCUCGGACCAUGUAGUUUUACCAGUCUUCUACGAUGUCGAUCCGUCCCACGUGAGGAAGCAGACAGGAAGUGUUGGAAAAGCAUUUGCUAGAAGCCAGAAAAAUCAGUCGCCGGAAAAGGUGGAGGGAUGGAGGAAGGCACUUGCAGAGAUUGCAGACCUAGCAGGCAUGGUCUUACAAAAUCAAGCUGAUGGGUAACCUUCAUUAUCUCCAUUUCUCUUCUCUUUGUUGGGUCAAUUUGAUGUAUGAUCCGUAGUGACAUAGAUUUUUAUAUAUUUAUUAAUUCAAUCUCAGUAGUGAAUAAUAAUCCCAAUUCAGGUCAACUUAAAGAAAGCACACUCAACUCAACUUAAGGAUUAGUCAUUUUCCAUGUUAAUCUACUGGUUUCCAGUUGCUUAAAUUUUUUUUGAAAGCUGGUGUGGAAAAAAGUUAGGAUGUGAUCUGUUUUGUAUUUGUCUAUAGUUUGUAUAGAUUAUGCGCUGUAUUCCUUUUUUUUUCAAUUUAAUUUUGUCAGGCAAUCAACAUAUGUUUUAAUUAUCUAAUUUCCCCAAUUCAUUUUUCAUUUUGUUUGCAAAUUCUUAGGUACGAGGCAAAGUUUAUCGAAAAAAUUGUUAAAGUGAUAGAAGACAAGUUAAGUCGUAUGCCAUUGAGUGUUGAACCAAAAUUGAUUGGUAUUCAAUAUCAAGCCGAACGCAUCAAUUUGUGGUUACAAGAUGGAUCAAGUGGUGUUGGUAUAUUUGUUGUGUAUGGCAUGUCUGGAAUCGGGAAGACAACCAUUGCAAAACAUGUUUACAAUUCAAACUUUAGAAGCUUUCAAGGAAGUAGUUUCAUUGAAAAUAUCAAAGAAACAGCAGAUCGACCAAAUGGCUUAGUUCAAAUACAAAUGCAACUUCUUUGUGAUAUUUUGAACGGCAGAGAAGUGAAAAUACACAGUGUUAGUGAGGGAAUAAUUAAGAUUGAAAGGGCCAUAAGCUCUAGAAGAGUUCUACUUGUUCUUGAUGAUGUUGACCAUAUGGACCAAUUAGAUGCAAUCCUAAGGAUGAAAGAUCAGUUUUAUCCGGGAAGUAAGAUACUAAUAACAACUAGGCGUGAAAGGUUGCUAAAGGCAGAUCAAGUUACAGAGGUGCACAGAGUUCGGACUUUGUAUUACAAUGAAUCAUUAAAGCUUUUCAGUUGGCAUGCUUUUGGCCAGGACCAUCCCAUAGAAGAAUACAUGGAGCACUCAAAACAGCUUGUGCAACAUAGCGACGGACUUCCAUUAGCUCUAAAAGUUUUGGGUUCUUCUUUAUCAGGGGAAAGUAUAGGUGUAUGGGAAAGUGCAUUGGAGAAGCUAAAAGUUAUUCCUGAUGGUGAAAUCAUGAAUAAACUAAGAAUAAGCUAUGAAAGUUUAAAAGAUGACCAUGAUCGGAAAUUAUUCCUCCACAUUGCUUGUUUCCUAAUAGGAAGGAACAAAAGCUACAUUGUUAGAAUACUCGAUGGAUGUGAUUUCUAUACAAUCAUUGGCAUUCAAACUCUCAUUGAUAGAUGCUUGGUGACACUUGAUGAACACGGCAAGGUGAAAAUGCAUGACAUGAUUCGUGCUAUGGGAAGAGAAAUUGUUCGCCAAGAAUCAGAAGAGCUUGAGGAACGGAGUAGAUUAUGGCGCCAUAAGGAUUCUUUCCAAGUAUUGAGGAAAAAGAAUGUAAGAAACAUGCCUUUUAUGUCUAUAUAUGUAUUCCUUCUUGUGAAAAUUAUGCAUAUUAAUGUCUUUUUUUUUCCUUUAGGGUACAAAAAAAAUCCAAGGUCUUGUCCUGGAUAUGCGUAAUCAUCCUGCAAACAGUCCAAUAAACACAAAUGAGAUAGUCUUGGAAACCAAUGCAUUUGCAAGGAUGUGUAAUUUACAACUACUCCAUCUUAGUCAUGUACGACUGGAUGGAUGUUAUGCAGAUUUCCCUACAGGAUUAAGAUGGGUGUGUUGGCUUGAAUAUCCUUUGGAUUCUAUACCAAUUGAUUUUCCUUUGGAGAACGUAAUUGUUCUUGAAAUGCAAUACAGUAGCUUGAGACAAGUAUGCAAAGGAACAAAAGUAUGUUACUCUAUGCAUUUCAAUUCAUUUUCCUUAUUGUGUUAGUUUCUUAUUUGUUGACUAACUCCAUGUGUUAAAAUGAACUACUAUGUUUUCUUUAAUUCGAUGACUAAUUUCUUAUGUUAGAUACUUAUUUCAUUGUUCUUUUUUCUUUUCUUUUUUUCCCUCUGUUUCCACAGUUUCUUCCAUCGUUGAAGAUCCUUGACGUCAGCCAUUCUCAUGGCCUUAGUGAAACCAUUGACUUCUCACUUUUCCCCAAUCUAGAGGAACUGAUUCUUGUAGAUUGCACAAGCCUGAAGAAUGUUCAUGAAUCCAUUGGAAACCUAGAGCGACUCGUGUACUUGAAUAUGAAGGAUUGCAAGAAUCUUAGGAAGCUUCCGAAGAACAUGUGCAUGCUUAAAUCACUUGAAACGCU